AUAAUAAACUUUAUUUAUAUAGCACUUUUCAAAACACAGUUACAAAGUGCUGAACAAUAGAAACACAAAUUAAAACAAAGAGCAUAAAAAACAUGUGAUGUACAGAAAGAAGACAGGAUAAAAACAAAAGCAGGCUCAAAUGAAAUCUGGAAAGGCUCUCCGGUAAAAGUGGGUUUUGAGGAGAGAUUUAAAAAUGGUUAAAAGCUCUGUCCCCUUUAGUUAUGAGCCUGGACACUGGGAGCAACAGCAGCCUACUGCCUGAGGACCUCAGACUACGAGACGGCACAUAGGGGACUAAAAGCUCUGAGAUAUAUGCUGGGGCCAAGUCAUGUAGAGCCUUAAAAGUAAUCAAUAAAAUCUUAAAAUCAAUCCUAAAACAAACGGGAAGCCAGUGUAGAGACGCUAGAACAGGUGUGAUAUGGUCAUAUUUUGUUGAUCUUGUUAAAAGCCUGGCAGCUGAGUUUUGGACAGUCUGUAGCCGUUUGAGUGUUUUCUGGCUCAAGCAGGUAAAAAGGCUGUUACAAUAAUCAAGUCGUGAGGAGAUGAAAGAAUGUAUCAAAGUUUCAGCGUCACUGAGAUUUAAAAUUGAUCGAAUU
Gadus macrocephalus (Pacific cod) is the source of this 596-nucleotide long non-coding RNA. RefSeq lists it as uncharacterized. The record is from RefSeq and is a predicted model, not a curated record. The transcript is spliced from 2 exons. Lineage: Eukaryota; Metazoa; Chordata; Actinopteri; Gadiformes; Gadidae.